This 75-nucleotide transfer RNA is filed under the name Chloroflexota bacterium. Its description in RNAcentral is "tRNA-Arg". It matches the Rfam family "tRNA". Rfam says of the family: Transfer RNA (tRNA) molecules are approximately 80 nucleotides in length. Their secondary structure includes four short double-helical elements and three loops (D, anti-codon, and T loops). RNAcentral also lists the same sequence under 2 other names. The record is from RNAcentral. Lineage: Bacteria; Bacillati; Chloroflexota.
GCCCCCGUAGCUCAGUGGAUAGAGCGCCAGCCUCCGGAGCUGGAAGCACAGGUUCGAGUCCUGUCGGGGGUACCA